This 1144-nucleotide long non-coding RNA is filed under the name Equus asinus (donkey). Its description in RNAcentral is "lncRNA (ENSEASG00005034393.1)". Lineage: Eukaryota; Metazoa; Chordata; Mammalia; Perissodactyla; Equidae. The record is from RNAcentral.
UUUGGUGCUCUCAGAACGAGUAUAGUGCUAGACUUCCGCACCAAGAACCCCCAGUGCCGUAAAGCUCGCUCUCUGGCUCACAAUGAAGGGUUAAAAAUGUGAGCCGUGGGACAACUGUGUCAUCAGCUCUUGCACUCAUGAGAUUUACAAGAACUUGGAGCUGUCCCCAGGACUCCACCUGCACUCCCAGCUCUGGUCGGUUGCGGGGUCCAAGGCUGGGAUCCCAACAUCCCGGGGCUUCGAGUACCUCUGUAGUCUUCCCGUGGAAGGCCUGGGGUGGAGGCAGAAGCAGAUGGCUUCCUCGAGUCCAGCUCAGCAUCCUCCUCUGAGGACAGCAACAGGAGCGCCUUUUCCGGGAGAGAAUGAGGAUGAACUAAGGAACGCGCAGCGCUUUGUGGUCAGCUGGCGCAGUUCCAAGUACAGAGGAUUCGCGCUGAAGCUGGCUUGUCGGCCUUGAGGCCCCUCCAGAAGUCUUCGGGAGGCCCGUUGGCUUGCUGGUGGCUCGACCCACAAGGACAAAGACAGAAGACUGGGGGUACAAGCAACAACAUCAAAAUGCGCCAGCUCGGGGCGGCCAAAGAGAGCGGCACUGAGGUCCCAGCGAUCUGCCGCAGGUGGCUCCUCGGCGGGCUCAGGUGGAAGGAAGCCGGGUGGUGACAACGCAGGAGGGACCAACCUUCUCCAAACAGAGAGGCCACGGGACCUGGGGAAAGCCGCCAUGCGUGUGGAGGCUGCACCAACUGGUCACCAUGGACCCCACCAGGGGAAGUGAGCAAGUCAUGCGCAGGCCGCAGUGCCCAGGUUAGACCACGGCACCUGCUCCAGGUCACCGUGUUUCGGCGGCAGAGGGCUCCAGCUUCAACGGGCCUCGAAUCAAAUCCGCGCUCCGCCACUCACGAACUGAGUUCCCUUGGGCAACUGACCUUCCCUGUGCCUCGAUUCACACAACAAUAUAAUGUUCAUAACUCUAGUACCUACCUCAUAGGCUGACGUGAGGAUUAAGUGAUGAUGAGCAUUUAAUGCAAGAUUUCGUUUAAUAUUUUAACAGUUCUCAGACAUAGACAGUCUUCGUUAAACAUCGGCUAUUGUUAAUAUUAUUGUGUCCAUCUUAUCCUUGUGUCUUAUGGUAAAAAGCCAGGUACUU